CUGAUAAUAAUAAUGUAUUUUGAAAGUACUGUAGAAGGUAAGGUGCCUUUAUAUAAA
RNAcentral lists this transfer RNA (57 nucleotides) under Parachtes riberai. Its description in RNAcentral is "tRNA-Ser". Lineage: Eukaryota; Metazoa; Arthropoda; Arachnida; Araneae; Dysderidae. The record is from RNAcentral.